Molecule: long non-coding RNA, 741 nt
Organism: Saccostrea cuccullata (small rock oyster)
Lineage: Eukaryota; Metazoa; Mollusca; Bivalvia; Ostreida; Ostreidae
Exons: 2
Source: RefSeq, a predicted model, not a curated record
AAUAGUUUAAGUAAUAGUUACAUUAAGUAAUUGAAGCACAUUUUUGGGUGGGGCGAGGGACCCUUCUCUGUACGUUCAUUGUCCCUCUUGUGGGAUGUUUUUGGGCCCCACCUUCUGCUGCAUUCUGAUAUUGUAAAAUCUGUAAUCUCAUUUGGCAUUUGUAAUAAAUGCUCUAUACACACACACACCCUCUUUAUUAUUUAACAUGCUGCAGAACAGAGCUGCAAAUGUGCUUCAGGUUCACAUGAACCGAAUUGUUCAUCAGUUUCAGUAUUUAAGAGCACAUAAGUGUAUUUAUGUAUAUAAAGGAAUUUAUGUGAUCUAAAUACGUAAUAAAUUGCAUAUUUUUAUUAAUUACCAAUUUGUUUGAAUUCAUGGGUCCCGAAGGGUUUUCCGGGUUUUAUACUUAAGCGUCCUCUAGUAACGGCUAUUAGCCUUAUCCUUAUCAGAAUAACAUUUCGGCUCCAAAAUGUGGUUUACAAAUUUUACCCACCACCACCCCUUCAAUCCUCCAUAAUUAUUGUUAUUGUAGAAAAUACAUGUACUAGUUUCUUUUAUAUAAGGUGCCUAUUGUUAUUGCAUGACUUUUGUACUUAUUGUUAAUUUUGUAGAAAAUAUAUGUACUAGUUUUCUUUUGUAUAAGGUGUGGGAUGUUUUUGGGCCCCACCUUCUGCUGCAUUCUGAUAUUGUAAAAUCUGUAAUCUCAUUUGGCAUUUGUAAUAAAUGCUCUAUACACACACA